UACCUGCAGCUCGAGUGGUAACCGCUAUUAUUGGGCCUAAAGCGUCCGUAGCCGGUUUGGUAAAUAUCUGGGUAAAUCGUGAGGCUUAACUUCACGAAUUUCGGAUAGACUGCCAGACUUGGGAUCGGGGGAGGUCAGAGGUACUCCAGGGGUAGCGGUGAAAUGUUGUAAUCCUUGGAGGACCACCGGUAGCGAAGGCGUCUGACUAGAACGAGUCCGGCGGUGAGGGACGAAGCCCUGGGGCGCAAACCGGAUUAGAUACCCGGGUAGUCCAGGGUGUAAACAAUGUGGGCUUUGUAUUGGAGGUCCCACGUGGGCGUCCAGUGCAGAAGAGAAGUUGUUAAGCCCACCGCCUGGGAAGUACGGUCGCAAGGCUGAAACUUAAAGGAAUUGGCGGGGGAGCACAGCAACGGGAGGAGCGUGCGGUUU
Molecule: ribosomal RNA, 429 nt
Filed under: uncultured archaeon
Lineage: Archaea
Description: bacterial SSU rRNA
Rfam family: Archaeal small subunit ribosomal RNA
Source: RNAcentral